AGUGAACGCUGGCGGUAGGCCUAACACAUGCAAGUCGAACGGCAGCACAGGAGAGCUUGCUCUCUGGGUGGCGAGUGGCGGACGGGUGAGAAAUACAUCGGAAUCUACUCUGUCGUGGGGGAUAACGUAGGGAAACUUACGCUAAUACCGCAUACGACCUACGGGUGAAAGCAGGGGACCUUCGGGCCUUGCGCGGUUGAAUGAGCCGAUGUCGGAUUAGCUAGUUGGCGGGGUAAAGGCCCACCAAGGCGACGAUCCGUAGCUGGUCUGAGAGGAUGAUAAGCCACACUGGAACUGAGACACGGUCCAGACUCCUACGGGAGGCAGCAGUGGGGAAUAUUGGACAAUGGGCGCAAGCCUGAUCCAGCCAUACCGCGUGGGUGAAGAAGGCCUUCGGGUUGUAAAGCCCUUUUGUUGGGAAAGAAAUCCAGCUGGCUAAUACCCGGUUGGGAUGACGGUACCCAAAGAAUAAGCACCGGCUAACUUCGUGCCAGCCGCCGCCGUAA
RNAcentral lists this ribosomal RNA (506 nucleotides) under uncultured bacterium. RNAcentral describes it as "partial 16S ribosomal RNA". It matches the Rfam family "Bacterial small subunit ribosomal RNA", at positions 29 to 523 of the family's 1533-position model. The record is from RNAcentral.